This 249-nucleotide ribosomal RNA is filed under the name uncultured bacterium. RNAcentral's name for it is "partial 16S ribosomal RNA". It matches the Rfam family "Bacterial small subunit ribosomal RNA", at positions 84 to 334 of the family's 1533-position model. The record is from RNAcentral.
GAAGAUGGCGACCGGCGCACGGGUGAGUAACACGUAUCCAACCUGCCGAUAACUCGGGGAUAGCCUUUCGAAAGAAAGAUUAAUAUCCGAUGGUAUAUUAAAACCGCAUGGUUUUACUAUUAAAGAAUUUCGGUUAUCGAUGGGGAUGCGUUCCAUUAGUUUGUUGGCGGGGUAACGGCCCACCAAGACUACGAUGGAUAGGGGUUCUGAGAGGAAGGUCCCCCACAUUGGAACUGAGACACGGUCCAA